CAGUCACACUGCUAAAAUCAAAAAUUGAUAUUUUGGCAAUUACUUCAGUGUUUGGGUCUGGUGGUGGUCAAAAUUGUUUUUAAAGAUUCAUAGUUUCACUUU
Molecule: long non-coding RNA, 102 nt
Organism: Haliotis rubra (blacklip abalone)
Lineage: Eukaryota; Metazoa; Mollusca; Gastropoda; Lepetellida; Haliotidae
Exons: 3
Source: RefSeq, a predicted model, not a curated record